GAGUAUAAAACAAUAAAACAAUAUGAGAGGGUCUCUCUCUUCCCUCACCAGAGGGGGCCAAAGUUUUAUGAGACAUCUCCUCAUCUGUGCACAGAUGGGUGGCGGACUCUGGAGUCCAGGCUGUUGCUUCCCAUUCUAGUGGUGAAUCUUCCAUAGUCUGGUAUUGUUGUCUCUAACCCAGACCUGAUCACCUGGCUACAGCAAGGAAAAGAAACUUUGACCAUGAAGAGACAGGUGAUGAUUGCCAAACACACAGGUAUUGUUGUCUCCAAGCCAGACCUGAUCAUCUGUCUGGAGCAAGGAAAAAUCCUUUGAGUAUGAGGAGACAUGAGAUGAUUGCCAAACACCCAGGUGGGUGCAAGUGAAAGUGAAUACAACAGACGACACAGAUGGAGUUUCACUCUUGUUGCUUAGACUGGAGUGCAAUGGUGUGACCCCAGUUCACUGCAACCUCUGCCUCUCAGGUUCAAGCAAUUUUCCUGCCUCAGCCUCCCAAGUAGGUGGGAGUACAGGCGCCUGCAACCACACCCAGGUAAUUUUUUCUAUUUUAAGUAGAAAUGGGGUUUGACCAUGAUGGCCAGGCUGGUCUUGAAUUCCUGAUCUCAGGUGGUCUACCUGCCUCGGCAUCACAAAGUGCUGGUAUUACAGGCAUGAGCCACCACAUCCAGCCUUGUGUAUUUUGGAGAUAGUGUCUCACUCUGUCAACCAGGCUGAUUUGCUCGGUUCACUGCUGCCUGAAUCUCCCAAACUCAGAUGAUCCUCUCAUAUCAGCCUCUCAAGUAGCUGCAUUACAAGUAUGUAACAUCACACC
This 811-nucleotide long non-coding RNA is filed under the name Homo sapiens (human). Its description in RNAcentral is "novel transcript". The record is from RNAcentral. Lineage: Eukaryota; Metazoa; Chordata; Mammalia; Primates; Hominidae.